This 429-nucleotide ribosomal RNA is filed under the name uncultured bacterium. Its description in RNAcentral is "bacterial SSU rRNA". It matches the Rfam family "Bacterial small subunit ribosomal RNA", at positions 355 to 775 of the family's 1533-position model. The record is from RNAcentral.
UGAGGAAUCUUACGCAAUGGGGGAAACCCUGACGCAGCAACGCCGCGUGAGUGAGGAAGGUCUUCGGAUCGUAAAGCUCUGUCAGUUGGAAAGAAAUGUCUGAGAGUCAAUCCCUUUCAGGCUUGACGGUACCAACAGAGGAAGCACCGGCUAACUCCGUGCCAGCAGCCGCGGUAAUACGGGGGGUGCAAGCGUUGUUCGGAAUUAUUGGGCGUAAAGAGCGUGUAGGCGGCCGGAUAUGUCAGAUGUGAAAGCCCCGGGCUUAACGCGGUAAGUGCAUUUGAAACUGUCCGGCUCGAGUAGGGGAGUGGGAAGUGGAAUUCCUGGUGUAGAGGUAAAAUUCGUAGAUAACAAGAGGAACACCGGUGGCGAAGGCGACUUCCUGGCCCUAUACUGACGCUGAGACGCGAGAGCGUGGGUAGCAAACAG